This 71-nucleotide transfer RNA is filed under the name Crocinitomicaceae bacterium. Its description in RNAcentral is "tRNA-Cys". It matches the Rfam family "tRNA". From Rfam's summary of the family: Transfer RNA (tRNA) molecules are approximately 80 nucleotides in length. Lineage: Bacteria; Pseudomonadati; Bacteroidota; Flavobacteriia; Flavobacteriales; Crocinitomicaceae. The record is from RNAcentral.
GGUCUUGUGGCCGAGUGGCUAGGCACCAGUCUGCAAAACUGUGUACAGCGGUUCGAAUCCGCUCGAGACCU